CAGGACCAAGGAUUGGAAGUGACAUCAGAAGGUUUGGAUACGUUGAAAAACAUGGCCCAUGAUUUGAAUAAGGAAAUGGAUAGGCAAGUUCCUUUAAUAGACGAGAUUGAUACUAAGGUCGACAAGGCAGCAUCUGACCUUAAGAACACCAUUGUGAGACUUAAAGAUACUGUUAACCAGUGUAUUGAAGAAUUAAGAUGAUUGAUGGGCUACUGUUUCUGCUUGUGAUUUUGGCUUUGUCUGGUAUUGAUUUGCGAUGAUUGAGGCCUUGUUAUGUGCUUAUUUUGGAGAUGAUUUGUUUUCCCGAUGUGUGUAUGUCUUUGCUAAUAGUUUUGACUACUAUUUCUGUACCUUUGUCUUUCAAAUACAACUUUCGGUACAUUAGACAUUUCUGGAUUAAUAAUGUAUAUUUGUUCCAGCUUUCAUUUUGUCUCUUUAAUUUAAGAUAUUAUAUUUCUAUUCUAUGCAUAUGAUUAAUGUUGUGACUCCUGUAAACACCACUUAUGGUAUUUGUGCAACCUAUAAGGGAAGAACCAAAAUUGGAUGAAUUUG
Camellia sinensis is the source of this 552-nucleotide long non-coding RNA. RefSeq lists it as uncharacterized. Lineage: Eukaryota; Viridiplantae; Streptophyta; Magnoliopsida; Ericales; Theaceae. The record is from RefSeq and is a predicted model, not a curated record.